This is a long non-coding RNA of Rhododendron vialii, 609 nucleotides long. RefSeq lists it as uncharacterized. The transcript has 2 exons. The record is from RefSeq and is a predicted model, not a curated record. NCBI's taxonomy places the organism in Eukaryota, Viridiplantae, Streptophyta, Magnoliopsida, Ericales, Ericaceae.
AUGGGCCUGUAGAAAGAGGGGAUACAAAUUCAGUUCAUUGGAGAGAGAGAGAGAGAGAGGUGGUUUGCUUCCAUGUAGACUUUCCACAGAUAGAAUCAUGCAAAAGUCUCAGUUGAUGCCUGGUGGCCAUUCGUGCACUCAAUUGUCAGCAAUGGGUGAAGCGGGCAUCUCAAUUCAGUAUCGUAAAAUGAUUUACAGCCAUCACAAGCGGUUUGUCCACCAACUUUGAGGAAUUUAGCUGAUUGGUGGAUGCAUGGAUAAUAAAUAUGGAAAUCUGGAGAAAUAUUGCUGGGAAGCCAGUUUCUUUGUAACAACUUGGUCCAUUUGGCUCACACGAAAUGGUGUUAUUUUCAACAAUGCAACAACAAGGGUGAACACAGUGGUAGAUUUGAUCAAAGCAAGAGUGGCUAUGUGGAUGAAGGCUAAGUUUGACAUCAAAAUCUACACGGUGGAGGAUUUUAAGGUAUUUUUAGAUGGAAUUCGGAGGGUGAAAUUAUGAUUGUGACUUUGUAGCUUUUGGGGUGGAAAGCUCCCAACUUUUUGUUGGAAGUUCUCUGUUUAUUUGGGUGUUCCUUUUCUUUUUUUUAAUAUGAGCAGUCCCGUUGCUCA